UGAAUUACAACAAAAAAACAAAAUUGAAAAUAAUAGAAGGACUAUUUUCAUAAUUUGUUCCGUUUUUUCGGCUUUGCUAAAUUAUUAUGAAAAAUACUUUGAAAAUCUAAAAUCGACAUUCAUCGUGAAUAUCUAGAUCAAAGUUGCAACAAAAAAGAUCUUUUGUCAUUUUUCUAUUAGAGUCAUAUUUCUGGUAGAAAACAAAGUGUAUACAAAUUAAAAACAAUGGAAUCGUUAACGCUGUGGCGCACCGUAAAUAUUUGGUGUUUUACUUAUACUUUUGUUUCCGAGUUUUCUCAAUUAUUUUGAAAACCCCUUUGUAAAAUAAAAAAUAACUUAUUUUAUGCUUCAACUAGAUAAAAUUCCCUCCAGAAAACUUGUUACCCUACAUGACACA
Non-coding RNA from Cinara cedri, 397 nucleotides. The record is from the annotation of a GenBank genome assembly. NCBI's taxonomy places the organism in Eukaryota, Metazoa, Arthropoda, Insecta, Hemiptera, Aphididae.